GAUGUCAACAUUCCUGUGACAGCUUGGAGCGGUCGCAAUGCAGAGAUGUUACAAGUCAUUUAACUGGAAAUGAAUAACACUCGAUGAUUCAGUUUUAUUUUUAAAAGUAACUGCAACUCCCUCGUUUGAAUUUCACCGGUGCUACAUAUACUGACUGUCAUUUGGACUAACCAAGGAAGAAUCUGUGACCAUACACAUGGAGAGGCAGACGGCAACCAGUUGGUGUUGCUGAAGAACCUCGAAGUGGAACAAGCAAAACGUGAUGAUAAGAGCCCGAGUGCGAGUCCACAAUGGAGAGUGCACAUGACGGGCCUGCCUGAGUAAAAAUAAAACAAGUCAUGACCCUUCACUUCCUGUGCUGUGCGCUCACUUCAUUUGGGAACAACAACAACCACCCCAGGAGAUUUCUAGGUUGUUGUUGGGUUUUUUUUUUUGUGUUUUAUUUAUAAAUUCCCUCCCAAGAAUGUGGGAAACCAAAAAACAUCCCAAUUCAUGUUCCACUGGGAAUUAAAAAGUUGCUUGAGCCACGGAUCUGCUUGGUGUGAAGGUUUAGUUUGUGACUAAACUUGGAUGCCGCGGGAAGUUGAUGAGCAUGAGGAUGGCAUGCAGUUGGUUAAAGAGGUGUCGUUUUGUGGUAGGCAAGAGCGUGGGCGGUACAGAAUCGGGAUGAGGGAGAUAAAGGGGGUCAAAAUGCUAAAAGAAGUAUGCAAAGAAAUAGUUUGGAUGGGAAUGGAGUGGUAGUGAGAAGGAAGAUGGGUAGGGAGGAAGUUAAGGUAGUACUUACAUUUAAGAAGGAAGACAAAGGCAUAAAAUGUAGCCCUGUGGCAUUGAGUAAGGAAAUACAAAAUGAAAAUAGGAGAAGUGGAUACAGUGAAUUUACUAAAGAAUGGAAAUUUGUUGUAACGAUUUUUAUAAAGUGUUGACUUUGGUGUAUAUUGGGAGAAAAAUGAUAAGUGAAAAGAAGGUACUGGGGGAGAGAGGUACAAGGAGAGAUUACGGGAUUAGGGUGAAAUAAAUGGUACGGGAAAUUCAAGAAAUAUGGCAUAGAAUACAAAUGAUGGGCUUGAUAGUUGUUUUGCUUUGUGUCCCACCUCUUGUUGGUAUCGAGGGAAUUGGGGAAACCAGAAGAUGGAGAGAAUAGUGAAGUAGGCAACAGUGUAGUCUAACAAAACGUAAGUAUUGGGGUAAGUACAAUGGAUAGUUAAACCGAUAUUGAUGAAGAGAUGUCAAACGCAGUGGAGUACUGAAAUUAAAGGAAGAUGGAUUCACAGAAUUAAGAGCAGUGUGGGAAGAAAUAGGUGGAAGGAAGGUGAGAAAAUGCAAGUCGUAACAUACGGCAUACUCCUUACCAAUAGGUGGCGGUAAUGCGCCUGAACGUUUCUUUCCAACUGCCAUAAAAUUCUUAAGAAGAGGAAGAAGAAAAGGAGUUUUGGUUGCUACCAUUUCGGUUAGCAACAGAUGCUGACCCAGAGCGCUGCGUAGAAUAUUGGCUCGCUGUUUUAGACUUUGUCAGGAAUGAAUUACUUUGUAAGUCGCUGACGCGAUAUUCGUCGUCGUGGGUUCCUGAGCCCAUUAACGACCACCCCGGAACUCCACAAAGGUUGGUUGGGACACCACCUUCUGAGUCGCGAGAGACGCCUUGAUUGUUCUACACUUUUCCACGUCGGCGGCCGCUAAAAUAAGGUGGCGGAAGGUGAACCAGAGUUGCCACAAACAUCCGCCUACUUGAGAGUCCUCAGCAGAAAGUGGAAAACACCAAGAUGGACGAGGUCAAGGAAGGUGGUCCACCUGGAGAAGUUAGGGUCACAAUGGUAUCACAUGUAGAUGGUCAGACCGGCACGCGACAGUACAAAAACAUUCAAUUAAGUAUAAUGGUGAUUGCGUGCCUUAUGUUGGCUAUUUCAGUAAUACAAACAGCGACAAAAGUGGACAGACACACAAGAGGAGUUGCUAGACACACUUCUGAAUGUGGGUUACCCCACCAACUAACAAUACAUCAUGUUAAUGGGACAAACAAGGGGUACAUAUUUGAUUUGUGUGACGUGAUUGAGUGUGGAGGAUAUAACGGUUCUUAUCGGGAAAAGGAUGUUUACCUGUGUUUUGAUCAGACUCUACAGAACCUGUGUUCAACUCAUAAGAGUUACACUGGACCGUGGUGUCAGACGUGGGGACAAGUGACCCAUUACACUGGGUUAUGGGUCCCGAGCAAACAGGUAAACCGUGGUCUGCUAGCACAGAAAAAUCAGAAUGAGAUUAUGGAUCGGAUAAGUUUCGAGCGCAUUUACAGCCGGUCUCAAAACCCGGUGAUGUUAAGUAUAAUGGGAGAAGCUAUAGGGGGGUCCAAGUCAACAUUUGUCAUCGUGGGGGUGGACAUAGCAGGGAGGGAUCCCCUGGGAGUUGUUCAAAUUAUCGUAUAAACAAAUAUCCCCCACUUAUCCACAGGGAAACAGUAAUAAGGCCACCUUCAGCGAGAGAAGCUAUUGGUGUAUGCGAAAUAAUCCACCCUAUAGAAUUGUACCACCCUGGUGUUGGUGUUUUCUCCAGUGGACAAUUAAACAAAUCUAGCAUUGCAGCGAUUUGAAAAAUGACUGCACUUGUUUCAGCUUAAGCAGGGAUGUGGGAUCGUGGGACGCAUCCUGGUGUGCCUCCUUUUGGGAAUGCCUCACAGAUCGGGCCCUGUGCCGGAUCUGGUUUGUUUUAGUUAUUGCGGAGAGUGCUGUGUCUCGCAGCUCCUGUGUCCCUUGCUCGGUCAUUAAAAUAGUCGAAUGCAACAAACCACACCCAUCACAUGAAAUACUCGGCGACGCAGAAACAUUUUGGCAAAAAUAUCUUCCGGAAGUAUCGGCGGACGUAUAUUUGACCCCAUGGUGAAUUCACCCACAUACAUGGAUAGAUGCCAUUGGUCUACACAGGAGGGUUCCAAAUGAAUUCAAAUUGGUGGACCACGGUAGUGCAUGUUUUGAAAACAUGCCAAUCAUUUCAGCAUUGUAGACCGCAUCAAUCCCGUUCGUUCCAAAGUGCAAAGGUUGGCUGAUUUGACUACAAACGCCGUUGAGGGAACUAGGCCCGUCUUCCUUAAUGGCGAUCCAAAGGAAAAAGCUGCUAGAUAUGCUGCUGGCUAAGGAGAAUGGAGUCUGCUCCAUGUUUGGGGACUCGUGUUGUCCAUACAUUCCUAAGAACUCUGCCCCUGAUGCCUACAAGGCCUGACAUCCCUCUCGGUCGAAUUCAAAGAAGCCUCUGGCAUCAAUAACCCUAUUGAUGAUUGGUCUCCCAACAUGUUUGGAACAAAGAGGGUCCCCCAACCCAUCAUGCCUUUGUUAUUCACAAUAUACUUGCUUUAGUAUUCAGUUUUGCCUCUUGUAAUCCUAGUUAUUUCAGGUCAAAGUUUCAAAUGUAUGACUGCAAAUUUGUUUCUGAGAACAAAAGAGGGACUGUUUGUGGUGGGUGUGUAUGAGAAGUGAGAGAGAGGGCAGAUGCUGUGCCUGGAACAGACGACAGGGGGUGAAACCACAGGGCUGACUGAACACACACACACACACACCCUCUUUGGAGAAUUGUAUUAAAGCCUGGGUCAAAGGAAUGAUGUCUGCGUCACUCUGCUUCGCUACCUUCGCAGUUAUUAACAGCUGCUGACCCAGAGCUCUGCCUAGAAUAUUGUCUUGCUGUAUUCGAUUAUUUGUGAGGAAUAAACACUUUGCUGUGUUGUUGAUGCAAUA
Long non-coding RNA from Hippocampus zosterae (dwarf seahorse), 3716 nucleotides. RefSeq lists it as uncharacterized. The transcript is spliced from 5 exons. NCBI's taxonomy places the organism in Eukaryota, Metazoa, Chordata, Actinopteri, Syngnathiformes, Syngnathidae. The record is from RefSeq and is a predicted model, not a curated record.